RNAcentral lists this ribosomal RNA (230 nucleotides) under uncultured bacterium. RNAcentral's name for it is "partial 16S ribosomal RNA". It matches the Rfam family "Bacterial small subunit ribosomal RNA", at positions 563 to 791 of the family's 1533-position model. The record is from RNAcentral.
AAGGGUGGCGUAGGCGGCCUGUUAAGUCAGAGGUGAAAGACGGUAGCUCAACUAUCGCAGUGCCUUUGAUACUGAUGGGCUUGAAUGGACUAGAGGUAGGCGGAAUGAGACAAGUAGCGGUGAAAUGCAUAGAUAUGUCUCAGAACACCGAUUGCGAAGGCAGCUUACUAUGGUUUUAUUGACGCUGAGGCACGAAAGCGUGGGGAUCAAACAGGAUUAGAUACCCCUGU